This is a long non-coding RNA of Mytilus californianus (California mussel), 552 nucleotides long. RefSeq lists it as uncharacterized. The transcript is spliced from 3 exons. NCBI's taxonomy places the organism in Eukaryota, Metazoa, Mollusca, Bivalvia, Mytilida, Mytilidae. The record is from RefSeq and is a predicted model, not a curated record.
UUAUUUUUUUUGCCAAUUAAAUAAAUUAAUUAGAUUAAGGUAAACCCCCUUCCUCCACGGUUCAUUGCACCACAUGCAUUCUGUUUUUCAUUGGCUACUAUUGGCGGGAUUUUCUAUUGUUUUCUUGCGGGUGAAUCCAUUUUGAUGUUCUAGCAAACACGUUACACUGAACGGCUGUUCACACACAUUACAUUGUUUUUUUUGAAAAUUUCAUCUAUAAGGUACCUGCCUCUUUCAAUUUCAAGAUUGUGUGCACUCAGCCUAAGUUUUGCCAUAGGUGCCCCAUCAUUGAUGAGAAGAUUUAAGGAAAAAAUUACAGAGAAAUCCAAUAACUAGCAGAAAAUUCGAACAACCUAAGGUUUAGAGUAGGCAAUGUAAAGGUAAUGCUGCUAUCUCUGCAAUAACCAAACAGUGUGGUAAGAAUACAGUCUAGUUAUACAUGGUGAGUAAUUUUUUGUUGCACCAUUCAUAUCACAAGAUACUGAAGUUAUUGUGUUAACUGAAGAAAAAAUACUUCAGUAUUUCAAGUUCUUAAUCACCAUGAAUCGAAAA